Perca fluviatilis (European perch) is the source of this 67-nucleotide small nucleolar RNA. The record is from RefSeq and is a predicted model, not a curated record. Lineage: Eukaryota; Metazoa; Chordata; Actinopteri; Perciformes; Percidae.
UUUCCAUGAUGAUAACUUGUCCAGUUCUGCUACUGAUUGCAAGUGGUGAUAACAGACACCUGAGAAA